This 263-nucleotide ribosomal RNA is filed under the name uncultured bacterium. RNAcentral's name for it is "partial 16S ribosomal RNA". It matches the Rfam family "Bacterial small subunit ribosomal RNA", at positions 793 to 1055 of the family's 1533-position model. The record is from RNAcentral.
GUCCACGCCCUAAACGUUGCACAUUAGCUAUUGGGAGCAUCGACCCUCCCAGUGGCGUAGCUAACGCGUUAAAUGUGCCACCUGGGAAGUACGAGCGCAAGCUUAAAACUCAAAUGAAUAGGCGGGAGUUCGCACAAGCGGUGGAUCAUGUGGUUCAAUUCGACACUGAGCGAAAAACCUCACCAGGGCUUGAAAUCCAGCUGCACGCCAUCCGAAAGGAGGAAGCCUUCGAGGGUGCUGGACAGGUGCUGCACGGCUAUCGU